RNAcentral lists this ribosomal RNA (250 nucleotides) under uncultured prokaryote. Its description in RNAcentral is "partial 16S ribosomal RNA". It matches the Rfam family "Bacterial small subunit ribosomal RNA", at positions 524 to 773 of the family's 1533-position model. The record is from RNAcentral.
UACGUAGGUGGCAAGCGUUGUCCGGAAUUACUGGGUGUAAGGGGGGCGCAGGCGGGACUGCAAGUCAGCGGUGAAAUACAUGGGCUUAACCCAUGGGCUGCCGUUGAAACUGUAGAUCUUGAGUGGAUUAGAGGCAAGCGGAAUUCCGAGUGUAGCGGUGAAAUGCGUAGAUGUUCGGAGGAACACCAGUGGCGAAGGCGGCUUGCUGGGGUCUAACUGACGCUGAGGCCCGAAAGUGUGGGGAGCAAAC